RNAcentral lists this small RNA (256 nucleotides) under Streptohalobacillus salinus. RNAcentral describes it as "Halolactibacillus sp. H96B60 BsrG". It matches the Rfam family "BsrG". Rfam says of the family: bsrE, bsrG and bsrH pair through intermolecular interactions with antisense sRNAs. SR4 interaction with the 3'UTR of bsrG RNA promotes bsrG degradation and inhibits its translation. SR5 also overlaps bsrG from nucleotide 163 to 52 (Rfam overlap check). The record is from Rfam by way of RNAcentral. Lineage: Bacteria; Bacillati; Bacillota; Bacilli; Caryophanales; Bacillaceae.
AAUAGAUUUACUAACUCAUGGGCGGUUCAGUACUCACCCUACCUUUUCUUCGAAAGGGGGUGAUGCUGCAUGACGGUAUUUGAAACGUUAACCAUCAUGAUUAAUUUUUCUGUGUUGAUCGUUGCAGUACUUGCCGUUAACAACACAAAAAAAUAAUCCGCCUAUGAGUUUGAGACCUCGGCGGAUUAUUAUGUCGAUGUACUGACCCCCUUGAAGGGAGUAAGUCUAUUAUGCUGUUAGUGUUGGCGCACUAGCA